RNAcentral lists this unclassified non-coding RNA (534 nucleotides) under Hevea brasiliensis (rubber tree). The record is from RNAcentral. Lineage: Eukaryota; Viridiplantae; Streptophyta; Magnoliopsida; Malpighiales; Euphorbiaceae.
GGUCUUGGUCCUUCAAUUGCAGGUACAAAAAUAUUUCAUGAUUAUGCCCGUGAUUGGAGUCUAAAGGGAUCAAGCUUUGAGAAAUUCUUUUUCCUCUUAUCCCUUUUUUAAUUUAUUUUAUUUUUAUUUUUUUGGGUGGGGGGAAGGGGGUGUUUUGGGGGAGGUGUGGAAAGCAUGGAACAAAUAUCCAUGGCUGUGAUCAUAUUUUAAGAGGUCCAGAGCUAAGGUCUGUUGAAUGUCUUGAAAUUAAGGGGGGAUAAAAAACCCCAAAUUGGAAAAAGGAAAAGUUGAGUUUGGAGCCAUGUUGAAUAAGUGUGGUCAUGCAUUUUUAGGCCAUUCAAUUUCUAGAACAGUAUAAAAUAUAUAAAUAUCAUAUCUGUGUCUUUUGGCCAUUACAAGGUGGCAAAUGUUGCCCAUGGCAUUUGCGGUAUAAGUAUUCAUAAAACUGCUAAACUCUUUCAGAGUUUUGAGUAUUUAAUUGCCAUUUUAAACAAGAGAAAACAAUUUCUUAGGUGUCUUCACACCUAGUGAUGC